Molecule: long non-coding RNA, 10223 nt
Filed under: Panax ginseng (ginseng)
Lineage: Eukaryota; Viridiplantae; Streptophyta; Magnoliopsida; Apiales; Araliaceae
Description: long non-coding RNA (PGIN_LNC002997)
Source: RNAcentral
UCCUUAUAAAUUAGCAAUUAAUUAUUUUAGGAUAUACACGGAACAAAGUAUAUCCUUAGUAUUUGCAAAUUUCUAUAUUCAAGGAAGAGAGUAUUUUGGACAUGAGAGAAACACCUCACUUACUCUUAUUAUAGAGACUCCUGCCAUGCUUUGGGUUGGCUAGCUGAAAUACAACCUCAAGUUUCAGUCUUUAGCAGCUCUUGGAUUGGCAAAAAUGGCUAGCCUUGGCAAGUUUCUCUUUCUUCAACUUGUUCCACCCUCCCUUUGAUCCCCUAACAAAACCCCCAAAAGAAUUAAGUCACUAAAAAUCUUAACUUUUAAAUGUCAUUUUCCCAAGUAUUAUGUGUAAGAAAACUGGUUAUAAAGCAACCUAAUACAAUUAAGUAUUAUUUGUUAAGAUAAUGUUCUCUUCAAAGCAUGCAAGUGGUAAUAACAUUCUACUAUUUUAGUGUCCAUGUACCAGUUUUUACACGCAUACACCUAAACAGAGAACUAAGAUACAAGAGAAAAUUAAAGGGGCUCCUUUCCCUUUAACAUAAUUUCAAUAUAUAUUUUUUAUAAGUCCUUUAAAAUUUUAGUAAAUAUACAGAAAUAGUCAAAUGGGCUAAAAUAUGCAGGCUAUGGCAGUUGUCCAUCUUUUGGGAUAUUUCAAAUAGCAAGACCUUUCCUUCUAAUCCUUUUAAUUAAGCUAAUAGAAAAAUUCCAUCUUACUCUAUCACAUUCAACAGUCUCCCUCAAGGCCUGACUUCAUUAGAAAUAGAUGACAUUUUUAACCAUAUGCCAUAAUCCCAAUCCUUCCAAAUAAUCCCUAGGAUUUGUUAUCCUUUUCACGAAAGAAAAUAACACAAUGAAUUCGAUGAAAACAAUGUAUAGGCAAUUAAAAUAUGCGUUUAUUCAUAGAAAAUAAAUUUAAAAUGGUUGUAGUCUCAAUCACAGACAAAAUUAAGCAUGGUAAUCAUCGUUGUACUGUUCGAAAGGCUUUUCACCCUGCUACCAUUUCCUGUCUUAUAUGGGGAUAAUAAUCUCUUAGACUUUCGUGCCAUUGGAUAGAGAGUCCCUCUACAUGUUGCGACGAAAAAUAUGUCUGACUCUGGACACAUACCUGGGCAAUUAAAUGUCUACUCGCAACAAAAGUCGACAUAUUUUUUCUCGCAAUAUAAAUAUUUUCCAUAGGACAGAUUCUAAUAAAAUGUGAAUCGGUAUUGGUAAAUGAUUAGCUCAAUAAAUAAUUCAACAAUGAUAAACCAAAACUUAUAUUUGAAACCAAUCUUUUUAUAAGAUUUUAGAUUAGGUAACAAUCAGGUAGCGAGUUACAAUGAAGUUGGUAGGGUAAGGAUGCAUUAUGAUGGAGUUUAGAAUCUGUAAUCUUGACUUGGAUUCCCCAGCAGGCCGGAAGAGUUUAUCUGUCUAGUUGGUUUUUAGACUGAAAAUUUUAUGACUUUCACUAUGUAUAUGUUCCAAAAAUAUUGGGCUUUCCUCUAAAUUUGUUGAAAACAAGGUGCACAAUAUUAGGUAACACACAAGGAAAUCAACUAAUAGUAGUUAGAUUAGUAAUUAACAAUAAAAGAGAAGUAUUUUAAGCAUAUAGACUAUAUAGCAAUUUGUUUCCAUACAAGUUCAGCUUGUAUAUCCAUUUUUUCAACAAAUUCUACAUAAAUACCAGGGAUUCACAUUGUUUUAAGAAAAACAUAAACAACCAAAAUCAAAACAAAACAAAAAACAGAGCUUGUAGUGUAAUAUCGACCUAUCCGUAUAAAGUCGUUCAAUAGAUGCAAAUAUAUAUAUAUAUAUAUAUAUAUAUAUAUUUGAAUUCUUGGUAGCAGCUAGAUAUAAAUAAAUCAGCUCAGUCUGUUGGGAUCAUGUCUAGAGGUGCACUAACUUCAUGUCCUAAUGUACAUAAUUUAAGCAUUUCAUUUAAAAUCACUUGCCACACAACAAAACUCUGGAAGAUUUGAUGAUUCCCAUAAUACUCCACUAAUGCAGAAAUAGAAUACAAAUAUUCAGAUUCACUAACGCAUAAUUCUGACACCAGUGAAGUUAGAAGCAAAAACCCAAGGGUUGUUCAGAUAUGAACAACAUUCUUUAUUACCAAUACUCUAACCAAUUGCCAAUCACCAAUCAAAAACACUUGUACUAUCAUAAGGUUAGAUGAUGGUUUUUAGUUAUGAAGUUAAAUAUUCUUACCGCCGUACACAAGAUUCAAUCAGGAGAAAGUAUAUCUUGCUCUAUUCGUUUAGAACAAUAAAUAAAACACGUCAUAACAAACAGACGUCUAGACAAAUUAUUGCACUAACUAUAAACAGACAUCUAAAUAAAUUAUUGCAUUAACGUUAAGAAGAAAGACAUAAAUAUCAAAUGUUCAAAUAAGGAAAAAUAAUUCAGCAGCAAAUUCCAGGUAUUUGUAUUGGCUCUUUUAUGUCAUUCACAAUGACAUGUGUGCCCCUCCAUAAACCUUGGCUUGGAUAAAACAAUGACACAGCAUGAAUAGAUCUGAGAGAAGCAUCUUCAUGUGCUAUUUCUCUUUCAUUUUCAAAGAUUAGAUUAAGUCGAUAUGACCAUGGCCUGAUAAAGGACAAGUCCUUUAAUUAAUAAGACUAAAACACAUAUUAUACUCAAGUAAUAUGUCCUUUAAUUAAUAAGACUAAAACACAUUAUAUUUUAGUAAUAUUCUAAUAUUCUCACUAUGAUCUAAUGCUUCUAAGCAUGCAAGAGAUUAUUUUCACAUGAUCACAUUAGCCUUCGGAUGAUAUAUAACCAUCAUCGUCAGAAACUUAAUUUAGUUAACUAAUAUUACUAGGCGGUCAUUAUUAGUAAAAAGAGAAGAUUUCAUUCAACUACUUUUAAAAGUGAACAGUUACAAAUAAGUCUCAUUAGAUCAAUAGUAUUUAAUUAUUAUUAGAAAAUAUAUUUCGACUAAUAAACGUGUUAUGCUCUACACUACCAGCCACUUCAAUGUGAACCCAGAAAGUUUCUUCCUUGUUUCCUGCAAUGAAUGUCACAACUGGAUUUUAUUUUUGCUGUUGUCAAAAUGAUCUCAAAAGUAACUUAUAUUUUUGUUCCCAGAGGCCAGAACUUUUACAGAAAAUAAAAGAUAAUCUUUUAGAAUUACUUUGCGGUCAUUUUCUUUUAAAUGUAAAACCCAAUUGUGACAUUCAUUGUAGAACAAGGUGGUAUUUCACAAUUUUCUCCUAAAACAAUAUUUUAAGAAGAAAAAGUUUUACCAAAGUAUAUUAGUAGAGCAUAAUAUGUAUUUCNNNNNNNNNNNNNNNNNNNNNNNNNNNNNNNNNNNNNNNNNNNNNNNNNNNNNNNNNNNNNNNNNNNNNNNNNNNNNNNNNNNNNNNNNNNNNNNNNNNNAAAUGAGCUCCCCACCUUAUAAUGCCUCCAACACUGUUUUAGCAAGAAUACACCUACUGUGCUCAAUAUAACCAGCGCUCCUCCCUUAUAGUCCUUCCCCUUCUCUUCCAAUCAUCUCCUUUCACCCAAAGGAGACAAUUUGACCAUGGAGAUAGAACAAAUUUCCAGUUGUCAUUACCCCCCAGGUUUCAGAUUCCACCCCUCAGAUGAAGAGCUGAUCGUUCACUACUUGCUGAAAAAACUCAGUUCGUGUCCGCUGCCAGCCGAUGUAGUUGCUGAAAUAGAACUUUACAACUACAACCCAUGGGAGCUUCCCAGUUAGUUAUCUAUUAUCUAUAAGCUUAUUUAGAUGGUAUUACUUUUAUUUUCUUCCUCUUAUGAUUAUUAUUAUUUCUGAAUUUCAGACAAGUCAUUGUUCGGAGAAGAUGAGUGGUAUUUCUUCACCCCGAGGGACCGAAAGUACCCGAAUGGAGAGAGGCCUAAUAGGACAGCAGCUUCAGGUUAUUGGAAGGCAACUGGGACAGACAAGCCUAUACUUAGUGCUUCUGGAUCAAGAAGCAUUGGAGUGAAGAAGGCUCUCGUUUUUUACAAGGGUCGUCCUCCGAAGGGCUUAAAGACGGAUUGGAUCAUGACAGAGUACAGAUUGCCUGACACCAUGACUCGAUCAGCGAGGUCAAAAGGGUCCAUGAGGGUAAGUAUGUGCCUUGAUGUUUGUUCAUUAUAAACUGUUUCUCAUUAAGAGGAACAGAAAGUAAAGAUUUUUUUUAGGCUAACUAAAUAACUUGUGUUAUUGGAACACAGAUCAUUCCUGAAACAAAUGUUUCUUCUAUAUCGAAACAUGUUAAACCAACUCAACAAUAUAAGAUUUGUCAAUGAACCUAGUUAUACUGAAGGCACUAUGUGAAUAGAAUAAACUUUUGAUCAGUAUGUUCUUGUUUUUUAUAAUCUUUCAACCCCAUAUGAUGCUCCCUCAAUUGUUUUCGACAAACGCUGUAUCAUCAUUGAAGAUUUGAAAAUUAUCUUCUACUUGUUUUUGUGCAACAAAAGUUUACACAUCUACAUAGGUUAACAGAUAAUAUAUAUGAUCUGCAACAAAAGUUACUUCUAUAUCGAAUCAUGUUAGACCAACUCAACAACAUAAGAUUUGUCAAUUAACCUAGUUAUACUGAAGGCACUAUGUGAAUAGAAUAAGCUUUUGAUCAAUAUGUUCUUGUUUUAAUCUUUCAACCCCAUAUGAUGCUCCCUCAAUCGUUUUCAACAAACACCGUAUCAUCAUUGAAGAUUUGAAAAUUAUCUUCUACUUGUUUUUGUGCAACAAAAGUUUACACAUCUACAUAGGUUAACAAAUAAUAUAUCCUGCCAUGGAGAAUGAAAAACACUUGAACCAUAUAUCUAUUUAGGGUUAAUCUAGAUUCUAGGGUGCCACCCUUCUCACCUCCCUUGAAGCUGUGAAACGUCACUAGUUCACAAACCAACGAUCUCACCAAUUGAACAAAAAGAUAAUCAGAUGCCAAAAUAAUACUCCCUUGGUCCAGAAUACAGAUAUGAGAGUCUCACUUGACUUUACUUCUUUUUAUGGAUAUUUAGGUUGCCUAGAACACACUUGGACAUGAUUUUCUUGGAAUGUUUUCUAUAUAUGUAUAUAUUAAAUUUGAAGAUUAGAAAGGGAAAAAAUAUAUGAAAUGGGAACUAAUUUCCGGAGGAAGUAUAGCACAUGAUAAUCACUUCCCCUCAUAGAGGAAGUAAACUGAUUAUACCUUCCCCAAAGCCGGAGACUUGCAACCUCCUAAAAGUCUGUACUUCAAGUCUUCAACUAAGUUUCACAAGAAGAAGAUUAUGUCAUCAUGUAUCCCCCUAAAGUAAUCAAUUGAUAAGAUCAAUCUUGACUACUAACAUCUGCAUCAUCAUCUUCUUCUUCAACAUCACACUAAUUAUUAAGCACUAAACAUAAAAUAACUGAUUCCAAUAAAGUAAUCGAUCAAUAAAAUCAAUCUUGAUUCCUAAAUAAUUCUCUGUUUGUUUGGCGCAGUUAGACAAUUGGGUACUUUGUCGCAUACGUCAAAAAGGCAACAUGUCAAAGAAUAAUUGGGCAGGCGAUGAAAGCCCCAGCAGAUCGGUAAAUUUUUUACCAAAAAUCGAGGAGCUCCCUUCAGCAUACACUAAAACCAACACAGAGAUCAUGUCAAAGAAUAAUUGGGCAGGCGAUCAAAGCCCCAGCAGAUCAGUAAUUUUUUUACCAAAAAUCGAGGAGCUCCCUUCAGCAUACACAAAAUCCAACACAGAGAUCACUACAGAUUACCUAUUGAAGGAUUGCCAUAUAUUGGCAUCCGUGCUAGCUUGUCAAGAUCUUCCUCCAAUCGAAAACAUUUCCAAUGCAACCUUUCCACGAAGAAACUACAGCAACAACUCAGGGUCAGGUCUUUAUGAUCAUACUUCAGGCAAGGAGAAUUCUUUCAUGACAAGUUCUUUCUAUGAGAGUUUCUUCAACCCAACCAAGGCAAGACUUAACGAGGGAAAUAGGUUUGAUAAUCUCAUUGGUUCUAAUAAGAUGGUGACAGAUAUAAACAGAAAUGAGGUUCUAAUCCCAGGAAACAUGAUGACCACUACUGCAAUGAACUUCUAUAAUCAAAAUCAGGCUCAAGGAAACAUAUUUAAUCCUACUCAAUCGGAUGUCAUCAUGAAUUUAAUCCUGUCUCGAGAAGAUUUCUGAACCAAUGGAACAACCUCUUAAAGAAGACUUGGCUUCACAAUAGAGCAGGCAAGACAUCCAAGUUGAAGUGUGUUUAAGAUACUUUUUAAGACGUGCAGAAAUGGUUCUUGCUCCACCAGACUUAAAACCACUAAUAUUCUGCAUUACAUUUACUUUUGUCAUCCUUUAAAGUCGCUUGAUGUUUCAUGAAUCCUUACAUUCUUGUUUUAUGUGUGAGAACUUAUAUCUAUGAAUAAUGUCUUAUAUUGUGUGCUAAAUUAAGUUUGCAACUCUGAAAUUUUGAGAACAAAUGUUUCUGCACCCAGUAAUGAGUAAUAACAUCUGAAAGUCUAUUCCAUGUUCUUUUCAAUCAUGUAAAUUUCCUUCCUGAAUAUAUGUUUCAUAUCCCUAACAUUUAUAGGUUAGUGAGAGGAACUCUGUCAGUCACUAGUUCACUACUCUAGUGAUACCUAAACACGCCAAAUGUAUGGUAAAGUAAACCAGAAGUAGUCAAGUAGAGAAGCCACUCCCAAUUUUUGCGGGAUGACAAACCCGAGAAAACCACUACAAAAACAAGUUUGUACUAAAUACAUAGACUACUACAAUUCCCUGUAAACGCAAGAAGCCCAUCGUGUGUUUUAACCAGUUGUUAAAGAACAAAUUAGGAUAAGGACAACACACAUAGUAAAAUCAGUUCAAGCCUAAGAGAUUUAUUUGUCCAUUGUCAUUGCCUAUAAAACACCAAAUAAUUGAUUUUAUUUUCAAAUAUUAUAUUUUAUGUUCAUAAAUUUAUUGAUUAUGACUUUCUCAUAAAAUAAAUUUUCUUACUUUCAUACUAAUACUGAAAGGGCAAAUCACAAAACUAUAUCCUCCGGUAUAAACUCAGCCAUCUGCAUCCCUAGGCCUUAAGAUUUAAAUAGGCAAAACAGUAAAUAAAAGAAUAAUCUAACAAUAUUAAACAAAUAUUUCAGCUAUAAGUAUUUUAAUCCUUCCAUGAUUACUAAGGCUGUAAACGAGUCAAACAGUUCGAGUUCGAUUCGGGCUCGACUCGAAAAAAUACGAGCGAGACUCGAAUUUGUUAAUAAUAUGAUCCAAAUUUGUGCAUUAAAAAUAGUUCGAAUAAAAAUAUGAGUAGAAUCUGAGCAAGGUACUCGACUCGUUUAAUAUUCAAACUACUCGAAUUCUUGACAUACUGGGUUAAUACAUAUUCGAUUAGAUGUUCGAUACAUCUCUUAUAAUAUAUACAAAUUUAAAUCAAAUUAGGAUAAUUAGAUAUUAUUUUGUUUUGUUUUUAAUUUUAAUUGUGAUUUUAUAUUUGUAAAAGUGUUAUAAUAAAUAUAUUUUCUCAUUUCUAAGUACAAUAACAAAUUCAAUUUAUAAUUAUAUUUAUUAUAAAACUAGUUAUUAUGUGGAGACUGGAGAGAGCUCGCGAGUAAUUUAAAUAAAUAUUCGAGUCGAGUCGAAUCUGAAUAGGAAUUUUUCAAAUAUAAUUCAUUCGAAUUCGAGCCGAAUUCGAGUACAAAUUUAUCCUUUCGUGUUGAAUUCGAGUAGCUAUCUCUCAUUUACACCCUUAAUGAUUACUACUCAAUAAAUUAUUAAAAGCAUAACAUAACUCCAAUUUCCAUAGUAAACUCAGCUAAUUGUCGGUAUUACUAAAAAAAUCAACAUAUUUUAGGGGGGUGUAUUCAAUUAGGAUUUUUAAAGACUUUUAAAGAUUUUAAAAGUUUGGGUGUAUUCAAUCAAGACAUUUAAAGAGUUUAUAAAAGUUUAGUGGUAUUCAAUUACAACUUUUUUAAUAUCUUUAAAAGUUAGGUGGUAUUGAAUUAAGAUUUUUAUAAAGUCUAUAAAAGUAUUUUGGUAUUCAAAAAGUCAUAGAUUUUAAAGAUUUCUAUCAAAUAGUAGAGUUUGACAGACUUUAGAAGAAGAAUUAUAACUAUCAAUCCAUAUCCAAAGUCUUGCCUCAUCUCUAAAGAUUUCUAAAGACUUCCAAAUAAACACAAAGGUGGAUAAAACUAGUUAUUAAUUGGACUAUCUUUUAUUGGGUCAAAUUAGUUAUUUAUUUUAUAUGGGCUAAUAAAUAUUAAUAUGUGAUGGAUAAAUGAUUUGGUAAAAUUUGGGCCAUAAAAAUAAUUAGAUUUAUUAUAAUAAUAGAAUUAACAAGAUAUAUUAAUAAGUAAACAAAUAAACCUAAUCUGAAUUGGUGAGAGAAAAAGUAGCUGUUCGAAAGCUUCCAAUAGAAAGAGGAAAGAGAUUUGUUCAACAAAGGUGAGAUAAAAUCAUGAAACUCUCAUAUCAAUUGUACAGAUUAUGUAUGUAUAAUAUAUGAAAAUAGAAAAUAUAUGAUGUGUAUGUGUUACUGUUAAUAUAUGAUUAUGUAUGUAUAAUAUAUGAAAUUACUGUUAAUUUUUGAAAAUAUAUGAAAAUAUAUGAUUAUGAUUAUGUAUGUAUAAUAUAUGAAACUAUAUGAAAAUAUAUGAUUAUGUACGAAAAUAUAUGAUUAUGUAUGAUUAUGAUUAUGUAUAAUUAUGAUUAUGUGUUACAGUUAAUAUAUGAAAAUAUAUGAUUAUGUAUGUAUAAAAUAUGAUUAUGUAUGUACAAUUCCGUGAAUUGAAUUUCAAUAUUAACAAGAUAAAUAAUAAAUUAUGAGUAUUUUGAGAAGAUAGUUUUUCUUAAUCUUAGUUCAUUUGAAUUUAAUAUAAUUAUUUAAUAUCAAGUAUAUCACAUUUUAAUUAAUUUAUUUACCCUGUAAGUCUUCUUGAUGUUAUUCAACAAUCUUAAUUGAUAUAACAUGAAAUUCAGUAUUUAUGUGCUUAUUAUUAACCACUUUGUGCUGAAUUAUGUAGCCCUUAUGUUUCAACUCUAACUGGAUGUUUAGCCAUGCAUUCACUUUACGUAAAUUCUUCCCUUUGUUGUAUUUUUGUGUGAAGCUAUUAUACAAAAUUUAUAAACUAAUGAAUGUCAAUGUAACAUGUGACAUUUUGGCCUACUUACUACAUAAUAUAUGAUUAUGUAGUACAUAUAUGAUUAUAUGAUUAUAUGUAGUACCAAGUAUGUAUAAUAUAUGAUUAUGAUUAUGUGUUUAGACUAAUAAAUUACUAAAGGAAAUACUAAGAUAGAUGUGUAUAUAUGACAUAGUAAUUACAAAUGAGAGAUUCUCAACAAGGAAAUAACAAAGGAAAAGGAAAAGGAAAAAAUGUUAGAAUUUAUAAUUCGUGGACAUUAGAAGAGAGCAAUGAGUUGCUACAACUCAUGGUUGAUGUUGCAGUUCGUGGAUGGCGUGAUAGUAAUGGAAUGCUAAGUAAGCAAAUAGUUGAGAAAAAGAUACAUCCUGCUCUUAAUCAAAAACUUGGCUGCCAAAGAACAUACUCACAGUACCUAAAAAGCGUACGCAUAUGCAUAAAGUAUAUAUAGCUCAAUAAAAAUUGAGCUUAAUUUUUGUAUUGCGUCUGUAGUUUCUAAAGUUUUAUUGGUAUCCAAGUAUCCAAAUGUAUUAUGAAAUGAGUAGAAUAAUAUGAACGCUUUCAACAUAUAUAAAAUCUCAUGCCACAAUAAUAUAAUGAGAUUUACUCUAGUUCAUGAAAAAAGAGAGAUACGUUGUACACAUGGGCUAAUUAACAAUUAAUAUAAGUUGCAAGAUAUAUUAGAAGUAUACAAAAGUCUAUCAUAGUCUUGAUAAAAAGUUUAUAAAAGUCUGUUACUUAUUUCAUAUAGUUUAUAAAAGUCAUUUUAAAAGAGUCUUUCUUUAAAGUCUUUGAAAAUCAUUAAAAUCCCACAAAUUCUACAAAAGUAAGUAACUUAAAAAAAAUCUUUAAAAAUCUUAAUUGAAUACACCCCUUUAAUCACCCUGCAACUAAAAUUUACCUGAGCUUUCAUUCUCCGUUCAAUCCACCAUUUUCGGCAAAAAUGAUCCCAAAUUCAUUUCAAAACCACCGGAAUUUCUUCUCCGAUUCGUUUUCUCCGUUGAUGUCAAGUCUUUCGCUUAUUAUUCACAUUUCUUUUCCUUUUUCGUUGAUUCUUCAGGGUUUGUUCGUCUUGAAUCAUCUUCACUUAAGCUCCGAUUGUUCAUUCCUAUCAUUCACCGAUAACAGAAGUACGAUUGCUUAAGUACAACGUUGGAUCUAAUUUUCCUCUCCUCUCUCAUUUUGUUUCUUAUUUUGUUAAAUAUUUCUUCCAAAUUUAG